RNAcentral lists this ribosomal RNA (497 nucleotides) under uncultured bacterium. RNAcentral describes it as "partial 16S ribosomal RNA". It matches the Rfam family "Bacterial small subunit ribosomal RNA", at positions 28 to 507 of the family's 1533-position model. The record is from RNAcentral.
GAUGAACGCUGGCGGCGUGCCUAAUACAUGCAAGUCGAGCGAACGGACGAGAAGCUUGCUUCUCUGAUGUUAGCGGCGGACGGGUGAGUAACACGUGGAUAACCUACCUAUAAGACUGGGAUAACUUCGGGAAACCGUAGCUAAUACCGGAUAAUAUUUUGAACCGCAUGGUUCAAAAGUGAAAGACGGUCUUGCUGUCACUUAUAGAUGGAUCCGCGCUGCAUUAGCUAGUUGGUAAGGUAACGGCUUACCAAGGCAACGAUGCAUAGCCGACCUGAGAGGGUGAUAGGCCACACUGGAACUGAGACACGGUCAAGACUCCUACGGGAGGCAGCAGUAGGGAAUCUUCCGCAAUGGGCGAAAGCCUGACGGAGCAACGCCGCGUGAGUGAUGAAGGUCUUCGGAUCGUAAAACUCUGUUAUUAGGGAAGAACAUAUGUGUAAGUAACUGUGCACAUCUUGACGGUACCUAAUCAGAAAGCCACGGCUAACUACGUG